UACGUAGGGUGCGAGCGUUACUCGGAAUUACUGGGCGUAAAGCGUGCGCAGGCGGUGAGCUGUGUCCGAUGUGAAAGCCCCGGGCUUAACCUGGGAAUGGAAUUGGAAACUGGCUCGCUGGAGUGUGGCAGAGGGGGGUGGAAUUCCGCGUGUAGCGGUGAAAUGCGUAGAUAUCAGGAGGAACACCGGUGGUGUAAACGGCUUUCUGGACCAUAACUGACGCUGAGGCACGAAAGCGUGGGUAGCAAACAAG
RNAcentral lists this ribosomal RNA (253 nucleotides) under uncultured bacterium. Its description in RNAcentral is "partial 16S ribosomal RNA". It matches the Rfam family "Bacterial small subunit ribosomal RNA", at positions 524 to 776 of the family's 1533-position model. The record is from RNAcentral.